This 72-nucleotide transfer RNA is filed under the name Phacus pleuronectes. RNAcentral's name for it is "tRNA-Gln". It matches the Rfam family "tRNA". From Rfam's summary of the family: Transfer RNA (tRNA) molecules are approximately 80 nucleotides in length. Their secondary structure includes four short double-helical elements and three loops (D, anti-codon, and T loops). The record is from RNAcentral. Lineage: Eukaryota; Euglenozoa; Euglenophyceae; Euglenales; Phacaceae.
UGGGGUGUAGCCAAGUGGUAAGGCAACGGGUUUUGGCUCUGUCAUACGUAGGUUCGAAUCCUCCCACCUCAG